AUGAUUAGAGACUUCUGGUGGGGGGACGAAGAAGGCCAUAGAAGAGUACACUGGAUGGCUUGGGAGCGCAUGAUUAAACCCAAACGGGCUGGUGGUAUAGGAUUCAGAGAAAUGCAUCUUUUCAACCAAGCACUCCUUGCUAAACAAGGAUGGAGGUUAAUUCAAUCCCCGGGAAGUCUUUGUGGGAGAGUCCUGAAAUCUAAGUACUACGCCAAGGGUGAUCUUCUAGACACCGUUUUUGCCUCGGAUGCCUCCCCGGUGUGGAAGGCCAUAGAAUUUGGA
Molecule: ribosomal RNA, 282 nt
Filed under: Triticum aestivum (bread wheat)
Lineage: Eukaryota; Viridiplantae; Streptophyta; Magnoliopsida; Poales; Poaceae
Description: partial small subunit ribosomal RNA
Source: RNAcentral